Prinia subflava (tawny-flanked prinia) is the source of this 557-nucleotide long non-coding RNA. RefSeq lists it as uncharacterized. The record is from RefSeq and is a predicted model, not a curated record. The transcript has 2 exons. Lineage: Eukaryota; Metazoa; Chordata; Aves; Passeriformes; Cisticolidae.
GGGCACGGUGGCAGUGGCCGCAGCUGCCUCUGCUCUUUGGGAGAUUCCUGCUCGGGGUUGGGCGUGAGGCCGAGGCCGGCCCCGGCGGGGGUGUGGCGGUCGGAAGCGGCGGGGCCGGGCCCUGAGCGAGGGCGUGAGCAAACAAAACCAAGCAACAACAAACUACAAAAACAAAAACCAAAACAAACCUAAACACACGUGCUCUGCUUUUUUCUUUCUUGGAAAUCUGGCUCCCCGGUACCGAAGUGUGCUGACGGGGAAGGUGUGGUGGGAAGAUAAACUCGGCCUUAUCUCCAGUGGGCUGGGAGCCCGGGUGGGAGAGACUGAUAAGGAGCUACAGCUGUAGAAAGGCACAGGGGAGUAACAAGUCAGGGUGCUAGGGAGCAAAGCAAUCCGGAGGUGGUGAUCCUGAAGCUGAAAGGAUGGAGGUGGUGAUCCUGAAGCUGUAGGGAACAGUGAGCCUUGCUCUGUCUACCAAAGGAGUUACGGUGGCAGGGUGAUGACAGCAACAGAACACAUGCACCUCUCAAAGCCUGUUAAAUAAAUACAUAAAAUGA